UACGUAGGGGGCUAGCGUUGUCCGGAUUUAUUGGGCGUAAAGAGCGUGUAGGCGGCCAUGUAGGUCCGGUGUGAAAACUCGAGGCUUAACCUCGAGAUGUCAUCGGAAACCAUUUGGCUAGAGUCCGGAAGAGGAGAGUGGAAUUCCUGGUGUAGCGGUGAAAUGCGCAGAUAUCAGGAGGAACACCGAUGGCGAAGGCAGGUCUCUGGGCAUUAACUGACGCUGAGGAGCGAAAGCGUGGGGAGCGAACAGG
RNAcentral lists this ribosomal RNA (253 nucleotides) under uncultured bacterium. RNAcentral's name for it is "partial 16S ribosomal RNA". It matches the Rfam family "Bacterial small subunit ribosomal RNA", at positions 524 to 776 of the family's 1533-position model. The record is from RNAcentral.